GCCAGGUGUGGUGGCUCACACCUGUAAUCCUAGCACUUUGGGAGGUAGAGAUGGGAGGAUCGCUUGAGCCCAGGAGUUCAAGACCAGCCUGGGCAACAUAGCGAGACUCCAUCUCUU
This is an unclassified non-coding RNA of Pongo abelii (Sumatran orangutan), 117 nucleotides long. It matches the Rfam family "Metazoan signal recognition particle RNA". Rfam says of the family: The signal recognition particle (SRP) is a universally conserved ribonucleoprotein. NCBI's taxonomy places the organism in Eukaryota, Metazoa, Chordata, Mammalia, Primates, Hominidae. The record is from Ensembl.